Molecule: ribosomal RNA, 464 nt
Filed under: uncultured Klebsiella sp.
Lineage: Bacteria; Pseudomonadati; Pseudomonadota; Gammaproteobacteria; Enterobacterales; Enterobacteriaceae
Description: bacterial SSU rRNA
Rfam family: Bacterial small subunit ribosomal RNA
Source: RNAcentral
CUACGGGUGGCUGCAGUGGGGAAUCUUGCACAAUGGGCGCAAGCCUGAUGCAGCCAUGCCGCGUGUGUGAAGAAGGCCUUCGGGUUGUAAAGCACUUUCAGCGGGGAGGAAGGCGGUGAGGUUAAUAACCUCAUCGAUUGACGUUACCCGCAGAAGAAGCACCGGCUAACUCCGUGCCAGCAGCCGCGGUAAUACGGAGGGUGCAAGCGUUAAUCGGAAUUACUGGGCGUAAAGCGCACGCAGGCGGUCUGUCAAGUCGGAUGUGAAAUCCCCGGGCUCAACCUGGGAACUGCAUUCGAAACUGGCAGGCUAGAGUCUUGUAGAGGGGGGUAGAAUUCCAGGUGUAGCGGUGAAAUGCGUAGAGAUCUGGAGGAAUACCGGUUGCGAAGGCGGCCCCCUGGACAAAGACUGACGCUCAGGUGCGAAAGCGUGGGGAGCAAGCAGGAUUAGAUACCCCAGUAGUC